Molecule: ribosomal RNA, 810 nt
Filed under: uncultured Gemmata sp.
Lineage: Bacteria; Pseudomonadati; Planctomycetota; Planctomycetia; Gemmatales; Gemmataceae
Description: bacterial SSU rRNA
Rfam family: Bacterial small subunit ribosomal RNA
Source: RNAcentral
AGAGUUUGAUCCUGGCUCAGAACGAACGUUGGCGGCGUGGAUUAGGCAUGCAAGUCGAACGAAUCUCAUCUGGUGUAGCAAUACAUUGGGUGGGGGAAGUGGCGAAAGGGGCAGUAAUGCGUGGGUAACCUACCCUAGGGACGAGGAUAGCCAUCCUAACGGAUGGAUAAUACUCGGCGUUAUGAUCGGGAGGCAUCUUCUGGUCAUGAAAUGAAUUUCGCCCUGGGAGGGGCUCACGUCGUAUUAGCUAGUUGGUAGGGUAACGGCCUACCAAGGCUAAGAUGCGUAGCGGGUGUGAGAGCACGACCCGCGCCACUGGCACUGAGACACUGGCCAGACACCUACGGGUGGCUGCAGUCGAGGAUCUUUGGCAAUGGGCGCAAGCCUGACCAAGCGACGCCGCGUGUGCGAUGAAGGCCUUCGGGUUGUAAAGCACUGUCGAGGGGGAGGAAGCCGAAAGGUUGACCUAUCCCUGGAGGAAGCACGGGCUAAGUUCGUGCCAGCAGCCGCGGUAAGACGAACCGUGCGAACGUUGUUCGGAAUCACUGGGCUUAAAGGGCGCGUAGGCGGGUGAGCAAGUCCAGGGUGAAAUCCUCCGGCUUAACCGGAGAAGUGCCUUGGAUACUGCUUGUCUCGAGGGAGGUAGGGGUCAUCGGAACUUCUGGUGGAGCGGUGAAAUGCGUUGAUAUCAGAAGGAACGCCGGUGGCGAAAGCGGAUGACUGGACCUCUUCUGACGCUGAGGCGCGAAAGCUAGGGGAGCGAACGGGAUUAGAUACCCCGGUAGUCCUAGCCCUAAACGUUGGGUACUA